RNAcentral lists this ribosomal RNA (726 nucleotides) under Klebsiella pneumoniae. RNAcentral's name for it is "partial 23S ribosomal RNA". It matches the Rfam family "Bacterial large subunit ribosomal RNA", at positions 911 to 1637 of the family's 2925-position model. Lineage: Bacteria; Pseudomonadati; Pseudomonadota; Gammaproteobacteria; Enterobacterales; Enterobacteriaceae. The record is from RNAcentral.
UGUUUCGGCUAGGGGGUCAUCCCGACUUACCAACCCGAUGCAAACUACGAAUACCGAAGAAUGUUAUCACGGGAGACACACGGCGGGUGCUAACGUCCGUCGUGAAGAGGGAAACAACCCAGACCGCCAGCUAAGGUCCCAAAGUCAUGGUUAAGUGGGAAACGAUGUGGGAAGGCACAGACAGCCAGGAUGUUGGCUUAGAAGCAGCCAUCAUUUAAAGAAAGCGUAAUAGCUCACUGGUCGAGUCGGCCUGCGCGGAAGAUGUAACGGGGCUAAACCAUGCACCGAAGCUGCGGCAGCGACACUAUGUGUUGUUGGGUAGGGGAGCGUUCUGUAAGCCUGCGAAGGUGUGCUGUGAGGCAUGCUGGAGGUAUCAGAAGUGCGAAUGCUGACAUAAGUAACGAUAAAGCGGGUGAAAAGCCCGCUCGCCGGAAGACCAAGGGUUCCUGUCCAACGUUAAUCGGGGCAGGGUGAGUCGACCCCUAAGGCGAGGCCGAAAGGCGUAGUCGAUGGGAAACAGGUUAAUAUUCCUGUACUUGGUGUUACUGCGAAGGGGGGACGGAGAAGGCUAUGUUAGCCGGGCGACGGUUGUCCCGGUUUAAGCAUGUAGGCUGAUUGUCCAGGCAAAUCCGGAUAAUCAAGGCUGAGGUGUGAUGACGAGGCACUACGGUGCUGAAGUAACAAAUGCCCUGCUUCCAGGAAAAGCCUCUAAGCAUCAGGUAACAU